RNAcentral lists this transfer RNA (32 nucleotides) under Erpobdella japonica. Its description in RNAcentral is "partial tRNA-Cys". The record is from RNAcentral. Lineage: Eukaryota; Metazoa; Annelida; Clitellata; Hirudinida; Erpobdellidae.
AAAUUUAAAAGUAUUCUUAUAUCACCUCUUAU